RNAcentral lists this ribosomal RNA (74 nucleotides) under Hornstedtia gracilis. Its description in RNAcentral is "partial 26S ribosomal RNA". Lineage: Eukaryota; Viridiplantae; Streptophyta; Magnoliopsida; Zingiberales; Zingiberaceae. The record is from RNAcentral.
UGUGGCCCCAAGUCAGGCGAGGCCCACCCGCCGAGUUUAAGCAUAUAAAUAAGCGGAGGAGGAGAAACUUACGA